AGAGUUUGAUCAUGGCUCAGGACGAACGCUGGCGGCGCGCUUAACACAUGCAAGUCGAGCGAGAACCGGUCCUUCGGGACCGGGGAAAGCGGCGAACGGGUGAGUAACACGUGGGUAAUCCACCCUCGGCACCGGAAUAGCUCGGGGAAACCCGGAUUAAUGCCGGAUGGCCCAGCAGCUCUUCGGAGCGGUUGGAAAAGGUAGCUUCGGCCUCCGGCCGGGGACGAGCCCGCGGCGGAUUAGCUUGUUGGCGGGGUAACGGCCCACCAAGGCGACGAUCCGUAGCUGGUCUGAGAGGACGAUCAGCCACACUGGGAUUGAGAACGGCCCAGACUCCUACGGGGGGCAGCAGUGAGGAAUCUUCGGCAAUGGGGGCAACCAUGACCGAGCGACGCCGCGUGCGGGAAGACGCCUUUCGGGGUGUAAACCGCUUUUCUGGGGGACGAGGACGGACGGUACCCCAGGAAGAAGUCUCGGCUAACUACGUGCCAGCCGCCGCGGUAAUAC
RNAcentral lists this ribosomal RNA (507 nucleotides) under uncultured bacterium. Its description in RNAcentral is "bacterial SSU rRNA". It matches the Rfam family "Bacterial small subunit ribosomal RNA", at positions 8 to 526 of the family's 1533-position model. The record is from RNAcentral.